This 467-nucleotide ribosomal RNA is filed under the name uncultured bacterium. RNAcentral's name for it is "partial 16S ribosomal RNA". It matches the Rfam family "Bacterial small subunit ribosomal RNA", at positions 29 to 507 of the family's 1533-position model. The record is from RNAcentral.
ACGAACGCUGGCGGCGUGCUUAACACAUGCAAGUCGAACGGAAAGGCCUUGCUUUUGUGGGGUGCUCGAGUGGCGAACGGGUGAGUAACACGUGAGUAACCUGCCCUUGACUUUGGGAUAACUUCAGGAAACUGGGGCUAAUACCGGAUAGGAGCUCCUGCUGCAUGGUGGGGGUUGGAAAGUUUCGGCGGUUGGGGAUGGACUCGCGGCUUAUCAGCUUGUUGGUGGGGUAGUGGCUUACCAAGGCUUUGACGGGUAGCCGGCCUGAGAGGGUGACCGGCCACAUUGGGACUGAGAUACGGCCCAGACUCCUACGGGAGGCAGCAGUGGGGAAUAUUGCACAAUGGGCGGAAGCCUGAUGCAGCAACGCCGCGUGCGGGAUGACGGCCUUCGGGUUGUAAACCGCUUUCGCCUGUGACGAAGCGUGAGUGACGGUAAUGGGUAAAGAAGCACCGGCUAACUACGUG